AGGCUCAAACAUCCUGCAGCAGUCGACCAGGAUGAGAGUCAGCAGCAUCCCCACUCCUCACCUGCUGCUGGUGAUGCUUCAGAGUAUGAACCCAUGAGAGGCUCUACAGAUGCUGAACAAGGGGAACCUUCAGAGGAAUACGUCCUUCCUCAACAAGCUUCUAUCAAGGAUCAGGACAAGGUUGAUGAGAACUAAUAGACAGGAAGGUCGUCUUCGUGCAUUUUAUCUGAUUCUGAGAAGUGAUUAAAGGACCAUAAUGUUAGCUUC
Molecule: long non-coding RNA, 267 nt
Organism: Cyprinodon variegatus (sheepshead minnow)
Lineage: Eukaryota; Metazoa; Chordata; Actinopteri; Cyprinodontiformes; Cyprinodontidae
Exons: 3
Source: RefSeq, a predicted model, not a curated record